Labeo rohita (rohu) is the source of this 2287-nucleotide RNA transcript. It is a transcript of the gene named zinc finger BED domain-containing protein 4, with no coding region annotated. NCBI's taxonomy places the organism in Eukaryota, Metazoa, Chordata, Actinopteri, Cypriniformes, Cyprinidae. The record is from RefSeq and is a predicted model, not a curated record. The transcript has 2 exons.
UACAGAUCCAGUAAUGCGGAGAUGGCGGGUGCUGCUAGUAGCGGCGAAGGAAAAGAGAUGGAAAUGGUCGAACCUAAAGCGGGUUUUAAAUCGGAUGUGUGGAAGCAUUUCGGUUUCUCUCUGAAAAGAAACGAGAAAGGAGAAAAGGUGACAGACAAAGAAAACACGGUAUGCAGGCACUGCCAGACUGUGGUGAAAUACAAGUCGGGGAAUACGACUAACAUGAGGAGUCAUUUGUUAAAUCAUCACCCCGAAAAGUUACGUGAAGAUACGAGGAGCAAAAUCCAGUCGGGCCAAAAGACUAUAAAAGAAGCGUUUACAGCCUCACUCCCCCACAACAGUGCGAGAGCACAAGAAAUCACAAAAUGCAUUGGUGAAUAUAUAGCCAAAGACCUACGGCCCUUUUCGGUGGUGGAUAAUGAAGGUUUUAAGAGGUUAGUAAACAUGCUGGAGCCAAAGUAUAAAAUCCCGUCGCGGCCACACUUUAGUCAAACUGUUUUACCAGCUCUUUACAAAGAGACAAGGGCGAAAGUUGCACAGAGCCUCAAACAAGCAGAGUGCAUCUCAAUCACCACAGAUGGGUGGACUUCACGAGCUACUCAGAGCUAUGUUACCAUCACAGCACAUGCUAUGACAAGUGAAUGGGAGAUAAAAACUUUUGUCCUACAGACACGGGUACUCUUUGAGUCACACACUGGACACAACAUAGGCGAGGUGUUAAAAUCUGCUGUUUCAGAGUGGGAGCUUGACACGAUUUACAACAACAAUCACCAGGGCAUCGCUGUGGUUACUGACAACGCAAGAAACAUGGGUGUAGCGGUGAAAGAGGCUGGUCUGUCCCCACAUGUAAAGUGUUUUGCUCACACCUUAAAUCUUGUGUCCCAGGCAGGUUUGAAGGUAAACCGUGUCAGUCGUCUGCUUGGCAGAGUGAGGCGUGUAGCAGCGUUUUUUCACCGCAGUUCAACUGCAACAGCUGUGCUGACCUCCAAGCAGCAAAUGUUAAACCUGCCAGUACAUAAACUGAUAAUGGAUGUAGUAACUAGGUGGAACAGCUCACUUGACAUGAUUGAGCGCUGCCUGGAGCAACAACAGGCAAUUGCUGCAGCCCUACUGAGUUCUGAAGUCAGGCGCAAUGCACGUGAAAUAGACAGUCUAGACGCAGCUCACAUCGCAGAUGCUGAGGACAUCGUUAAACUUCUCACACCCUUGAAAAAAGCAACCACUGUGCUGUGCGACGAAUCUCGACCAACAAUCUCUCUUAUCAUACCUCUCAACACAUGAUUCAAGUGAGCAUGGCACCGUGCGAUGUAGACUCAAACACCGUCUCUCAAAUGAAGGCAGCAAUACUGAAUGAUUUGGCAGACCGUUACCAAGGGGAGCAAGCAGAGUUUCUGUAUGAGAGCAGUGCGUUGGACCCCCGGUUCCUGGCCCUCCCCCAUCUGAAUAACAGCGAAAGGGAUGAAAUUUUCAACAGGCUCAAGUUAAAAGCAACACAGAUGCAGAACCAGAACCCUAGUGAAGAGGAAGGUGCAGCACCAGGCAGCCAUGAACAUGUAGCUGGACACUCAAAAACUGACCUGCCACAAAAAGCACAUGCUGUGGGAGGUGUCUCUCCUCCAUCCAAAAAGACUGCUCUUGAAGAUCUCCUUGGGGAUUCUUUUAGUCAAGGGGACAGCAGAACACAGCACACUGCUCAGAUUGAUGCAGAAAUUGACUUGUACCGCAAAGAGACCUCUAUCUCACUCAUGGCUUGUCCUCUCGAGUGGUGGAAAGACAAUGCACAACGUUACCCACUGCUGUCAACCUUGGCCAAGUCAUAUCUCUCUGUCCCAGCAACCUCAGUCCCAAGUGAGAGGGUUUUUUCUGUUGCAGGGGACAUUGUAAAUGCCCAGAGAUCCCAGCUUUUACCAGAUAAUGUUGAUAUGCUAAUUUUCCUUAAAAAAAACCUGUCUCUGUCUGAAUAAGUGAGUGUGUGAGUGAAUGAGGUGUGUGUUCUCAAAUACUCAUUCAGCACAUGGGCCAGCUGCAAUAAGUAGGCUGCUAUUUUUAUUUUUUCUGAGUUUUCAAGAAUACUAAAUUGAAACUUUAUUUUUUUACAUGGUUUAAUAAUUUUUUGUUAUUAAAAUGGAAAAAUUGAAGAUUCUUUUUUCAAAGUUUAUAGAUAGAUUGCUAAUUUGUGUGCAAUUGAUAUGUUCAGUGCUCAUGUAAACUGUUUAAUAAACACUUCUGGCACUUUUUUCGAGUCUCUUCAUUAGUUUUGUUUUUCCUGUAAAUGAUUCAAUAAAUA